UGAGGAAUAUUGGUCAAUGGGCGCAAGCCUGAACCAGCCAAGUAGCGUGCAGGAUGAAGGCCCUAUGGGUCGUAAUCUGCUUUUAUGUGGGGAUAAAUUCAAUCACGUGUGAUUGUUUGCAGGUACCACAUGAAUAAGGACCGGCUAAUUCCGUGCCAGCAGCCGCGGUAAUACGGAAGGUCCAGGCGUUAUCCGGAUUUAUUGGGUUUAAAGGGAGCGUAGGCCGCCUCUUAAGCGUGUUGUGAAAACCGGGCGCUCACCGUCCGGCUUGCAGCGCGAACUGGGGGCUUGAGUGCGUGCGACGCCGGCGGAAUUCGUCGUGUAGCGGUGAAAUGCUUAGAUAUGACGAGGAACUCCGAUUGCGAAGGCAGCUGGCGAGUGCGCAACUGACGCUAAUGCUCGAAGGCGCGGGUAUCGAACAGGAUUAGAUACCCUGGUA
This 439-nucleotide ribosomal RNA is filed under the name uncultured bacterium. RNAcentral's name for it is "bacterial SSU rRNA". It matches the Rfam family "Bacterial small subunit ribosomal RNA", at positions 355 to 792 of the family's 1533-position model. The record is from RNAcentral.